This 164-nucleotide ribosomal RNA is filed under the name uncultured bacterium. RNAcentral describes it as "partial 16S ribosomal RNA". It matches the Rfam family "Bacterial small subunit ribosomal RNA", at positions 355 to 511 of the family's 1533-position model. The record is from RNAcentral.
UAGGGAAUCUUCCACAAUGGGCGAAAGCCUGAUGGAGCAACGCCGCGUGUGUGAUGAAGGCUUUCGGGUCGUAAAGCACUGUUGUAUGGGAAGAACAGCUAGAAUAGGAAAUGAUUUUAGUUUGACGGUACCAUACCAGAAAGGGACGGCUAAAUACGUUCCAG